UGAUUUAUGAAUUUUAGGGAAUGAAUAAUUCAUCUCUUUACUAUUCAUCUCAGGGAGGUUUAUGAAUUUUACAAAUUUUAGGGAAGGCCAGUGAAAUUGUUAGAAAUCUCAACGGAGGUUAUUGAAGAUCCAGUCGUGAUUCUGCUGUACUGUCUCUUUUGAAAUCGUCCAAAUCAAUGCUUUUACUUGAAAGCUGUCGUACGAGGUUUAUUAGCACUACCUGAGGGAACUUCAACAGGACCUCUACUGGUCUCUUCUGAUGUCAGCACUUACUGUUAGGAUUUCAUAUGACGUCUCAUUUGCCAUGCUGCCUCUCAUGCUUCAGUGAACCCCUGGAUCAAAUGGGCUAGUGUGUCCCAGCGGCUUCUCUGUUUGGUUCUCCUUGGGCUUCCUGGCACUGGAUAUUUGCUCACACAAAGCCAAGUGGACCUGUAGAGUACAUGAUCUGUCUACCUGCUCAUGGAGCUGUCAUUGGAGCUUGGUUUGGCGCUUAACCAAUGCCACUUGGCUGGGAAAGACCAUGGCAGAGCGAAACUUGAAACAGUUAUUCGUUUCUGGAUACAUAUUGAAGUUUGUAACAUUUGAAACUGUAGCCGAAUGAAGUUGGCAAAAGGUGGCAGGUUUCAAUUCUCUUUUUUCUUUCUUACUGUGUACAUGAACAGUUGGUUUCGUCAAGAACUUAGUAGUAAGAGUGGCUCAGAAAUAACUGACAACUUCAAGAGUUACCUGAGGUCUACCAUCACAUGGCCAAAAAAUCUUUGAAAUGAUGUUCUCUUGUUACAUUCUCUAAAUUGACACAAAGUAUGGAACUUGAUAUGUUAAUGCAGCAGUAUGAUAUAGUCAGGGUUCUGAGUUAACAAUUCAACAAUUGAUGCUUAGCUUUCAUGCUUAGAUUGUUGUGUUGGCUCUGAUAUAUUUGUUCACUUUGCCUUUUCAUGUAAAGAUGCCAUAUUAACAUUGUCCUAGUACAAAUAUUACACCUUGCAUGUGAAAUUGUGCCUUGAAAAGCACCAGAGAGAUGAUGAGGGUUUACAUAGUAGUCCUGAUGUGGUUCUGAUAAUUCCGCGAUGUAGUGAUGUGUUGAUCUACUGUUCCAAGUAUAAUCUCCUAGGACAGGUUAGUUGCAAUGGUUUUGGUAAAUGUAGUUGACCAUGUAUGUUUGAGCUCGGCAAUUAGAUUCUGAAUGUUGGAUGUCGUUCAGCCUUGGUUUGCAGCUUGUUGUUCAGUUUGUUAUGCUUUGUACCCUGACACUGAGAUGAUUUGAAGUUGUUUGUAAGACUGGCCAAUUUUUGUGAGCUA
Molecule: non-coding RNA, 1299 nt
Organism: Coffea arabica (coffee)
Lineage: Eukaryota; Viridiplantae; Streptophyta; Magnoliopsida; Gentianales; Rubiaceae
Source: RefSeq, a predicted model, not a curated record